Molecule: ribosomal RNA, 408 nt
Filed under: uncultured bacterium
Lineage: Bacteria
Description: partial 16S ribosomal RNA
Rfam family: Bacterial small subunit ribosomal RNA
Source: RNAcentral
AGUGAACGCUGGCGGCGUGCCUAAUACAUGCAAGUCGAACGGAGUGGCGCACGGGUGAGUCAUGUAUAGCUAAUCUGCCCUACACUAGCGGCCAACAGUUGGCAACGCCUGCUCAUACUCUAUAGUGUAGGCUGCGGCUAUAUUGUAUCAGCUAGUUGGUGAGGUAAUUGCUCACCAAGGCUAUGACGCAUAACUGGGCUGAGAGGAGGAUCAGUCACACCGGAACUGAGACACGGUCCAGACUCCUACGGGAGGCAGCAGUAGGGAAUAUUGCUCAAUGGGGGAAACCCUGAAGCAGCAACGCCGCGUGGAGGAUGACACUUUUCGGAGCGUAAACUCCUUUUGGUAGGGAAGCGGUACCUAACGAAUAAGCACCGGCUAACUCCGUGCCAGCAGCCGCGGUAAUAC